GGAGGUUCUUGGGUGACAUACCCCAGAAUCGGGUUCCCUCCUCUUUGGUUCCAGGUGCAUCACCCGAGAACCGCA
Myotis lucifugus (little brown bat) is the source of this 75-nucleotide non-coding RNA. Lineage: Eukaryota; Metazoa; Chordata; Mammalia; Chiroptera; Vespertilionidae. The record is from Rfam.